Molecule: ribosomal RNA, 634 nt
Filed under: uncultured bacterium
Lineage: Bacteria
Description: bacterial SSU rRNA
Rfam family: Bacterial small subunit ribosomal RNA
Source: RNAcentral
ACACAUCGUGCCCAGUCGUGGGGGAUAACGCAGCGAAAGCUGUGCUAAUACCGCAUACGAUCUCUGGAUGAAAGCGGGGGACUCGCGAGAGCCCUCGCGCGAUUGGAGCGGCCGAUAUCAGAUUAGCUAGUUGGCGGGGUAAAAGCCCACCAAGGCGACGAUCUGUAGCUGGUCUGAGAGGACGACCAGCCACACUGGAACUGAGACACGGUCCAGACUCCUACGGGAGGCAGCAGUGGGGAAUUUUGGACAAUGGGCGAAAGCCUGAUCCAGCAAUGCCGCGUGCAGGAUGAAGGCCUUCGGGUUGUAAACUGCUUUUGUACGGAACGAAACGGUCUGCCUUAAUACGGUGGGCUAAUGACGGUACCGUAAGAAUAAGCACCGGCUAACUACGUGCCAGCAGCCGCGGUAAUACGUAGGGUGCGAGCGUUAAUCGGAAUUACUGGGCGUAAAGCGUGCGCAGGCGGUUAUAUAAGACAGAUGUGAAAUCCCCGGGCUCAACCUGGGACCUGCAUUUGUGACUGUAUAGCUAGAGUACGGUAGAGGGGGAUGGAAUUCCGCGUGUAGCAGUGAAAUGCGUAGAUAUGCGGAGGAACACCGAUGGCGAAGGCAAUCCCCUGGACCUGUACUGACG